RNAcentral lists this ribosomal RNA (492 nucleotides) under uncultured bacterium. RNAcentral's name for it is "partial 16S ribosomal RNA". It matches the Rfam family "Bacterial small subunit ribosomal RNA", at positions 28 to 507 of the family's 1533-position model. The record is from RNAcentral.
GAUGAACGCUAGCUACAGGCUUAACACAUGCAAGUCGAGGGGAAACGACAUCGAAAGCUUGCUUUUGAUGGGCGUCGACCGGCGCACGGGUGAGUAACGCGUGUCCAACCUGCCCAUCACUUGGGAAUAACCUUGCGAAAGUAAGACUAAUACCCAAUGAUAUCCCACGAAGGCAUCGGAAUGGGAUUAAAGAUUUAUCGGUGAUGGAUGGGGAUGCGUCUGAUUAGCUUGUUGGCGGGGUAACGGCCCACCAAGGCAACGAUCAGUAGGGGUUCUGAGAGGAAGGUCCCCCACAUUGGAACUGAGACACGGUCCAAACUCCUACGGGAGGCAGCAGUGAGGAAUAUUGGUCAAUGGGCGAGAGCCUGAACCAGCCAAGUAGCGUGCAGGAAGACGGCCCUAUGGGUUGUAAACUGCUUUUAUAAGGGAAUAAAGUGGGUCACGUGUGACUUUUUGCAUGUACCUUAUGAAUAAGGACCGGCUAAUUCCGUG